CCUUAUCAGGGAGUUGAAAUUUAUAUACAUAAUACCAAAUUAUUUGUAAAAAGUCUUUUUGAACAGCUAUAAAAUGUUUAAAAACUGUGGCAGAUGCAGUUAUCACACAUCCACUUGAUAGUGAAAGCAGAAACCCAACAAGUUUUACCUAAUUCUUGCACUGAAUUUAAAUAAUAUAAAGUUAAAUGUGCAUUUUAAACAGAAUUUAUUUCUCAUUUAUUGGUUAGCAUAGAACAAUGCUUAGUGUUAGAGAGUUGAUCACAAGAUUGGUUUUAGAAGGAAGACGGUAAGAAAGCAGAAGCACCUUACUGGGGAGCAUGUUGCAUUCAUUUAGUGCUACUGAACAAUUCAGUAGUGAUUUCUGAACUUUGCUGCAAAGUGCUCUUUAUUUAAAGCACAUAAAAAGAGUCUCUGCUUAAUUGCUUUGUAAAGUGAAGCAAUGGUAUUUUUUAUCCUAUAAAUAUAGUCUAAUUUAAAAGUUUUUCCUACAAAAUGAGUUUAUAUUGCCGCCUAAACUAUCAUCUAUGUAAACAAAGGAUUUUUUAAAAGGCGAGAGAGGGAGUCUGGAUUGUGAGA
RNAcentral lists this long non-coding RNA (576 nucleotides) under Bos taurus (domestic cattle). RNAcentral describes it as "long non-coding RNA NONBTAT001781". Lineage: Eukaryota; Metazoa; Chordata; Mammalia; Artiodactyla; Bovidae. The record is from RNAcentral.